Non-coding RNA from Aegilops tauschii subsp. strangulata, 255 nucleotides. Lineage: Eukaryota; Viridiplantae; Streptophyta; Magnoliopsida; Poales; Poaceae. The record is from RefSeq and is a predicted model, not a curated record.
CUCUUCCGAUCUGCCAAAUCACCGAUAUACCAAUCAAGUUUAUUACAUUCCACCAAUCACAAUAUAACCAUACAAUAUUACACCAAUCACAGUAUAGCACUCUACAGAUAAAACGCUCAACAAGUACACGCACGUCUCCAACACCUUAGCGCCUUCAACCUGCAAAACAUCACAUCCAACCACAUAUUAAUGAUCAAAUCAAUUCACCCCUUGAUGGCAAUAAAAAACUGUGCUCAUGUAUGAACGAAAAUAAAA